AUUGAGUCAACUAAUUAAGUUUCGAGUAUAAUCUUAAAAAUUUUAGAUUUUUUUAUACGAUUAGCCUAUAUAUAAUAACAAUCAAGAAACCCAUUUCAGUAACAUGGACAAAAAAUUAGGAAAAAGAACCAAAAUGUGAAAUGGUUGAAGAAAGAAAUGCAGCAAGUACCUCUCAGAAAUGCAGCAAGUGGCUCUAAAGAUGCCAAGAGCAGUCAUAAUCGUACUGCUGGAGACCAUGUGUAGCGUAUGUCAACUGAAGGGUAAAAAAGGAGGACAGUAAAAUAGGGAAAUAUAACCUUGGAUUGGA
This 307-nucleotide unclassified non-coding RNA is filed under the name Hevea brasiliensis (rubber tree). Lineage: Eukaryota; Viridiplantae; Streptophyta; Magnoliopsida; Malpighiales; Euphorbiaceae. The record is from RNAcentral.